RNAcentral lists this ribosomal RNA (484 nucleotides) under uncultured bacterium. RNAcentral's name for it is "partial 16S ribosomal RNA". It matches the Rfam family "Bacterial small subunit ribosomal RNA", at positions 28 to 523 of the family's 1533-position model. The record is from RNAcentral.
GACGAACGCUGGCGGCGUGCUUAACACAUGCAAGUCGAACGAUGAAGCUGGAGCUUGCUCUGGCGGAUUAGUGGCGAACGGGUGAGUAACACGUGAGAAAUCUGCCCUUGACUCUGGGAUAACUGCGGGAAACUGUAGCUAAUACCGGAUACUUUCCCUGGUGGGCAUCCACUGGGGAAGAAAGAAUUUCGGUCAAGGAUGAUCUCGCGGCCUAUCAGCUUGUCGGUGAGGUAACGGCUCACCAAGGCGACGACGGGUAGCCGGCCCGAGAGGGUGACCGGCCACACUGGGACUGAGACACGGCCCAGACUCCUACGGGAGGCAGCAGUGGGGAAUAUUGCACAAUGGGCGCAAGCCUGAUGCAGCAACGCCGCGUGAGGGAUGAAGGCCUUCGGGUUGUAAACCUCUUUUAGCAGGGAAGAAGCGAAAGUGACGGUACCUGCAGAAAAAGCACCGGCUAACUACGUGCCAGCAGCCGCCGUAA